RNAcentral lists this ribosomal RNA (636 nucleotides) under uncultured bacterium. RNAcentral's name for it is "bacterial SSU rRNA". It matches the Rfam family "Bacterial small subunit ribosomal RNA", at positions 202 to 842 of the family's 1533-position model. The record is from RNAcentral.
UAAAGAAUUUCGGUAUGGGAUGGGGAUGCGUUCCAUUAGUUAGUUGGCGGGGUAACGGCCCACCAAGACAACGAUGGAUAGGGGUUCUGAGAGGAAGGUCCCCCACAUUGGAACUGAGACACGGUCCAAACUCCUACGGGAGGCAGCAGUGAGAAAUAUUGGUCAAUGGACGAGAGUCUGAACCAGCCAAGUAGCGUGAAGGAUGACUGCCCUAUGGGUUGUAAACUUCUUUUAUAUGGGAAUAAAAUGUUCCACGUGUGGGAUUUUGUAUGUACCAUAUGAAUAAGGAUCGGCUAACUCCGUGCCAGCAGCCGCGGUAAUACGGAGGAUCCGAGCGUUAUCCGGAUUUAUUGGGUUUAAAGGGAGCGUAGGUGGAUUGUUAAGUCAGUUGUGAAAGUUUGCGGCUCAACCGUAAAAUUGCAGUUGAAACUGGCAGUCUUGAGUACAGUAGAGGUGGGCGGAAUUCGUGGUGUAGCGGUGAAAUGCUUAGAUAUCACGAAGAACUCCGAUUGCGAAGGCAGCUCACUGGACUGCAACUGACACUGAGGCUCGAAAGUGUGGGUAUCAAACAGGAUUAGAUACCCUGGUAGUCCACACAGUAAACGAUGAAUACUCGCUGUUUGCGAUAUACUGCAA